RNAcentral lists this ribosomal RNA (487 nucleotides) under uncultured bacterium. Its description in RNAcentral is "bacterial SSU rRNA". It matches the Rfam family "Bacterial small subunit ribosomal RNA", at positions 8 to 507 of the family's 1533-position model. The record is from RNAcentral.
AGAGUUUGAUCAUGGCUCAGGACGAACGCUGGCGGCGUGCUUAACACAUGCAAGUCGAACGAUGAACCAGGGCUUGCCCUGGGGAUUAGUGGCGAACGGGUGAGCAACACGUGGGCAACCUGCCCCAGACACCGGGAUAACCUCUCGAAAGAGUGGCUAAUACCGGAUAUGACCACUUCGGGCAUCCGACGGUGGUGGAAAGGAUUCUGGUCUGGGAUGGGCCCGCGGCCUAUCAGCUAGUUGGUGGGGUAAUGGGCCUACCAAGGCGACGACGGGUAGCCGGCCUGAGAGGGCGACCGGCCACACUGGGACUGAGACACGGCCCAGACUCCUACGGGAGGCAGCAGUGGGGAAUAUUGCGCAAUGGGCGAAAGCCUGACGCAGCGACGCCGCGUGAGGGACGAAGGUCUGCGGAUUGUAAACCUCUUUCAGCAGGGACGAAGCGAAAGUGACUGUACCUGCAGAAGAAGCACCGGCUAACUACGUG